RNAcentral lists this ribosomal RNA (253 nucleotides) under uncultured bacterium. RNAcentral describes it as "partial 16S ribosomal RNA". It matches the Rfam family "Bacterial small subunit ribosomal RNA", at positions 524 to 776 of the family's 1533-position model. The record is from RNAcentral.
UACGUAGGGUGCGAGCGUUGUCCGGAGUUACUGGGCGUAAAGAGUGCGUAGGCGGUUUUCUAAGUUUGGUGUGAAAUCUCCCGGCUUAACUGGGAGGGUGCGCCGAAAACUGGAAGGCUUGAGUAUGGGAGAGGUAAGCGGAAUUCCUGGUGUAGCGGUGAAAUGCGUAGAUAUCAGGAGGAACACCUGCGGUGUAGACGGCUUACUGGACCAUAACUGACGCUGAGGCACGAAAGCGUGGGUAGCAAACAGG